ACUUCAUGGAGAGUUUGAUCCUGGCUCAGGACGAACGCUGGCGGCGUGCCUAAUACAUGCAAGUCGAGCGGACCGACGGGAGCUUGCUCCCUUAGGUCAGCGGCGGACGGGUGAGUAACACGUGGGUAACCUGCCUGUAAGACUGGGAUAACUCCGGGAAACCGGGGCUAAUACCGGAUGCUUGAUU
RNAcentral lists this ribosomal RNA (187 nucleotides) under Bacillus licheniformis. RNAcentral describes it as "16S rRNA. Bacterial SSU". It matches the Rfam family "Bacterial small subunit ribosomal RNA", at positions 1 to 182 of the family's 1533-position model. Lineage: Bacteria; Bacillati; Bacillota; Bacilli; Caryophanales; Bacillaceae. The record is from RNAcentral.